This 254-nucleotide ribosomal RNA is filed under the name uncultured bacterium. RNAcentral describes it as "partial 16S ribosomal RNA". It matches the Rfam family "Bacterial small subunit ribosomal RNA", at positions 524 to 776 of the family's 1533-position model. The record is from RNAcentral.
UACGUAGGUGGCAAGCGUUGUCCGGAAUUAUUGGGCGUAAAGCGCGCGCAGGCGGCCUCUUAAGUCUGAUGUGAAAGCCCCCGGCUCAACCGGGGAGGGCCAUUGGAAACUGGGAGGCUUGAGUAUAGGAGAGAAGAGUGGAAUUCCACGUGUAGCGGUGGAAAUGCGUAGAGAUGUGGAGGAACACCAGUGGCGAAGGCGACUCUUUGGCCUAUAACUGACGCUGAGGCGCGAAAGCGUGGGGAGCAAACAGG